UACGUAGGGUGCAGGCGUUAAUCGGAAUUACUGGGCGUAAAGCGUGCGCAGGCGGUCUUUUAAGUCAGAUGUGAAAUCCCCGGGCUUAACCUGGGAACUGCGUUUGAUACUGGGAGGCUUGAGUAUGGGAGAGGGAUGUAGAAUUCCAGGUGUAGCGGUGAAAUGCGUAGAUAUCUGGAGGAAUACCGGUGGCGAAGGCGGCAUCCUGGACCAUAACUGACGCUGAGGCGCGAAAGCUAGGGGAGCAAACGGG
This 253-nucleotide ribosomal RNA is filed under the name uncultured bacterium. RNAcentral's name for it is "partial 16S ribosomal RNA". It matches the Rfam family "Bacterial small subunit ribosomal RNA", at positions 524 to 776 of the family's 1533-position model. The record is from RNAcentral.